Molecule: long non-coding RNA, 3925 nt
Organism: Solanum pennellii
Lineage: Eukaryota; Viridiplantae; Streptophyta; Magnoliopsida; Solanales; Solanaceae
Exons: 2
Source: RefSeq, a predicted model, not a curated record
UUCACUAAGAUAUUAUAUUCCUUCCAACAUAUUUAACUAUACCUCCUACUUUUAUUUGUCCUAAAAGAAAAUUAAUAAUAGUAAAACACUCCAUGUUUCAUAAAGAAUCCUUUCAUCCUCAAAACCCUAGCCGUAGUAACCUCCAUAGGAGCUUAGCAGCCAGUUCAUUCUCGAUGCCAUGGCAGAAGUUAAAGCCUCAACUCCCAAUUUUUGUCCUAAAUUUGAAAAACUUCUGAAAUGCUAGUAAGGGGUACAGGGUACCCACUUCCUUGGUUCUCGUUUCAGACUCUGAUUGUCAUUUUUCUAUGUGAUCUUGGAAAUUUCUUUAUAUUUAAUUCUAUUCCUGUUAUUGUAUUUAGUGUUGACACAUUUUCUAAUGUUCCACAAAACAGGUUUGUAAAUUUUACGGAGGGACAUAUUCGGAGUGAAAGUGAAAGCUCUAGCAGGGGUGAAUCUGUUAAAAAUGGGUUUGUGAAUCUGCUAUAUUUAUCACUAAACUUGGCAUUCCCGGACGUUAAAAUGAGUCUAUGCACCCCUUUGUGACCACAUUGCCAGCAAAUCACAUAUGAGUUUUCAAUUAUUAAAAGGUUUUGUUAUGGAUGAGAAUGGGUGAGUACUAUCUAGAGCGCAGAUGGUUAGAUUUUAUUCAGUGCACUUUGAAUUUUAUUUUGAUGUGUUAUGUUUGAUGAUAUUUGUUAACAGUUUGAGUGACAAUGACAAUUUCUUACUUAUGGCGGUUAGAACUUAUUUCUAAUAUUGGUACCGUUACCUAUUAUAAGUUUGAUUGGAAAUGGUUAGUAUUUAGUUGUAUAAUGUUCAUAAUGAUUCCUGUUCUAAAUUCUAAUUUUCAUUGAAAGAGCUUAUGUUGAAAUUGCUGAAAUAUGUAAAGUCUAUCUCUAUCUUUGCAGAUGUCAUUUGUUCCUCUUAUUUUUAUCAUGGUUUUGAUCUUUAAAAAAAAAUGAAUGUCUACUUUAGAAGAAGCUUGUAGCUUUAUCAAAAAAUCGGAUGCCUUGUCAGCCCCCACCAUUGGUUCUGGGCAACUAGGGCUAACUCUCUAUGCGAAAUUGUUUGAUUUAUACUUUUCACGAUAUCCACCACAACUUGAUGUGUCUCUGUCAACUUCAAUAUUUCUCUUGAAAGAUUCUUUAUACCUUACAUGAGAGGUUGUAAAUAUGGAUUAUUAAGCUAUGGUGUCCCUUCCAUAUUUUUGCUCUGAGUUAUUUCUUUUAGAGGUUUCAUCAACUUGAUCUUGCUUGUAUUCUUCUUCUUUCUGGUUAAAAUUAUGGGUGUGUAUUGGAACUAUGAAGCCUAAAUGGAAUUACAGUGCUUUGAUGGCCUUUAUAUUUGGUAUAUAGUUUUUUUUUUUUUGAAAUAGAAAAAAGAGAAAAAACUAUAAGUAGCAGUUGUUAAAUGGUUUAAUACAAAAGUAGAACACAAGAUUUUUCCUUCCUUACUAUUGGAUGUUUUUCUAGCGGCAUGGAGAAAGCACCAUGGGUCUUUUAGGAUGUGCACAUUCUGAUUUAUGUUUAUGGCACCUCUGUGAAAGUUCUUACUUUCCCUAAGACCCUCCUUUUGGGACAAUUGUGAAAUAUGUUCUAAUUCCUUGCAAAGCUAAUGUAAAAAUGAAUGGGUGUUGCAUGUUGACCCACUUAAUUUGCAUUUUAUUAUCACAGAAAGUUCUUGAUUGCUCUAUGAGGCGACACAAUAAGUUGAAAAUCCUCAUUCGCCUUUUUCCUGAAAUUUUUAUGUGAGUUCUUCUUUCCUUUCACAGGCAAUGCUUUCAAUUUUAGAUAACCGAUUAAAUAAAGUUAGGCAACUGAAGUCUUUGUACAUGAGGAAUGAGAAAGGUGUCUUUUUUGAAGUAAAAACUCAUGUUUGUAUCCCUAGGAUAUUGAAGAGAUUUGUUGGAAUCAUGUGUAAUUUAGUUUGUCAUGGCAUUCUAUACCUAACAUAAAUAAAUAUGUUUGUACAUGGGAUUUUGUACCUAACAAAAUUUUCUGAUGUAUGAACAUAUCAUAAAUGAUAAUUCAUACAACAUUUUAAGACUAAAUUGGUACUCCCAUGUAUUGCAGUUUUGGAUUUAGCUUGGCAUUAUCUCUAAUUUUGAACAAGAUUCAAUGAGGAGAGCUAUUUUAUUAUGCCACAUGUAGGGAACAAUGAAUCAUCUUUAUUUCCAAGUGAUGUGUUUGAUUUUUUCCUUAUUAACAUAGAACCAUUAACUUGCAUUUUCUAAUGUCGAGAUUAGUCCCAUUACGUGUUGGAUGAAAUGUCUCAGGUUUGAAUCAACAUAUUCGGAUGCAAGAGUGGAGUAUGAAUUUAGGCAACAGUGAUGUUGAGUUUUGCAGUAAGUGUGAGAAUCAGUGGGCAUUUUUAAACAAUUCAAGGGAAUUAAAUAUAUUUGUUUCUCAGCUACAUAUAAUGCUUUCCACUAUAAUUAAAAUUAAGUGUGUGUCUUUUUAUAUGUACUACAUUGAAUCCUCACAUGUAGCUUAAAAACAUUUCCAAUAUUAAGGGGUUAUAUUAACUAAAGAAGCUUGCAAACUCUAUAUUAGUUGAAUUACUGUUACAUUUCUUAUUUUAACAUUCCUUUACCUUUAUGGAUUUAAAAUAUGUAUUUUCAUUUGUUUGGUUGAUUCCAUAGGAUAAUUGACAAAUGAAUUUAAUCUAUUUCCACAUAAGAAUAUUUUCUCUUGCAAGUUGUAUGUUCCUUCUAUAGGGGUACAUAGUUUUCUGUGUUUUAUUUAUCCCAAACAAUUUAAGGAGAUAAAGAAAACUUGAUAAUGAAUGAUCAAGUAAGAGUAUAUUUCAAAUAAGUAUUAAGCUCAAUAUUGAACAUGCAUGUGUGUCUGAUAUCUAUAUUUGAUGGUCUACAAGCUCUGAACUACUACAGUCACUAUUGUGUCCUUUUAUCCAAAUUAAGUAUGUAGUCUAUUAUGCAGUUGGAUAUAAGGAGACUCUCCAAUGGAAUUUGGAGUAGCAAUCGAACGGAAUCAUCUCCCUCCCGAUUUCAUAAUAUGGUAUUUUCCCAAUUAUUCUAGUGUUUUUGCAUGUCAAGAUACUUUUUUGUCUAGCAUACAUGAAUUCCCAAUAUUGGUGGAACUAAUAUUUGAUGAUAAUGUUUAUAUACAAAAUAUUGUGAAACAUCUAAAUCAAUGCGUUAUAUACUAAAUCUUAGACUGUUUAUCGGAAUGGACAUGAUGAUGGUAGGAACUAUUUUAUCUACAUUGCUGACAACAAAAAGCGUUGUGAUUGUAACUCUUUCGAGAUGCAUGCUUGCUUAUUCAAGAUGGAAAUGUUGUUGUUCUGCAGAAUUUGGCUACCCUUAAGGCACAAUUUUUCAACUGGUUGGUAGAUCAAAUGCACAGAGCUAUUGCUUUGGCAAUUGAAGAUUCUCGAAAAGACUUUGCUUGAAAUGCCAACACGAAUUGAGACAAACUUAACAACAAUAUAAUACUGAUAGAAUUAUAAUACAAAUACUUGUGUUUUCUGAAUUACUAGUAUUUAUGUACACCUGAUCUGAUACAACAAUUACUAUUGUUUGUUGACAUAACUUUAAUGUUUGAUGGAUGCAUUGUCUAUCAGGGCCCUUGGGAAGUUGUUCGUGGCCUUUUUAAUCCAUGGUAUAUAUAUAAUCUAAGGGGAAUGGUGUGGCAGAUUCUUUGUUAAAGAUUUUUGGAUUGGACAUCAAUAGUGAUAUGGUGGGAGAUGACAUGUCAAUGGAUAUUAAAAUCAUGGCCACAAGUCAAUUCAAUCAUUUGAAGUUGAUAAUUUUUUAUUUGAAUAUUACAAUGUUCAAUUUUCAGUUUAUCUUGUAUGAUUCAUUGCUAGUGCACAUUUUGAAAUACGGAUUUAUUAAUAUGUAUUUAUCCUAGAUGUUUCUUUUUCUAAGUACAUUGCAAAUAUAUGUAUUUUGUGUUAUUUAUCA